GCCUGAAAGGGCGACGGUGCUGAGCCGGAGCGAGAAGUCAGCAGAGGCCGCAGUAGCUGCUGGUUUGGGGCGAAGGGC
This 78-nucleotide non-coding RNA is filed under the name uncultured Defluviicoccus sp. Lineage: Bacteria; Pseudomonadati; Pseudomonadota; Alphaproteobacteria; Rhodospirillales; Rhodospirillaceae. The record is from RNAcentral.